CCUACGGGUGGCAGCAGUAGGGAAUAUUGCUCAAUGGGGGAAACCCUGAAGCAGCAACGCCGCGUGGAGGAUGAAGGUUUUAGGAUUGUAAACUCCUUUUGUGAGAGAAGAUAAUGACGGUAUCUCACGAAUAAGCACCGGCUAACUCCGUGCCAGCAGCCGCGGUAAUACGGAGGGUGCAAGCGUUACUCGGAAUCACUGGGCGUAAAGAGUGCGCAGGCGGGUUUGUAAGUCAGAUGUGAAAUCCUGUAGCUUAACUACAGAACUGCAUUUGAUACUAGGAGUCUAGAGUGUGAGAGAGGUAGGUGGAAUGCGUGGUGUAGCGGUAAAAUGCGUAGAUAUCGAGAAGAACACUCAUGGCGAAGGCGGCAUACUGGAACAAUACUGACGCUGAGGCACGAAAGCGUGGGGAGCAAACAGGAUUAGAUACCCGAGUAGUC
This 440-nucleotide ribosomal RNA is filed under the name uncultured bacterium. RNAcentral's name for it is "partial 16S ribosomal RNA". It matches the Rfam family "Bacterial small subunit ribosomal RNA", at positions 338 to 795 of the family's 1533-position model. The record is from RNAcentral.